UUGUCGAAUCCUGCAAAGCAGACGACCGCGAACUUGUGUAAUUGCCGGGCGUCGGGGAACGGGGGAGACUAAAGCCUCCCCUAACUCCCCGGCGCUCCCCGCGCACCGCGCGGACAACAACUCAACCCCGGCGCGGAAAGCGCCAAGGAAAACUCAAAAGGAUUGCCCGCCUCCCCGUGCGCGGGGUGUGUUGUGGCGUCUGUCGUAACCAAAACGACUCUCGGCAACGGAUAUCUCGGCUCUCGCAUCGAUGAAGAACGUAGCGAAAUGCGAUACUUGGUGUGAAUUGCAGAAUCCCGUGAACCAUCGAGUCUUUGAACGCAAGUUGCGCCCGAAGCCAUUAGGCCGAGGGCACGCCUGCCUGGGCGUCACGCAUCGCGUCGCCACCCCCCUUUUGCGGGGCGGCGGAUACUGGCCUCCCGUCCCAAGAAGGCGCGGCUGGCCUAAAUUCGAGUCCUCGACGGGGGACGUCACGACAAGUGGUGGUUGAAUGCCUCAACUCGAUUCCUGUCGUGUUCAUUGGCCUCGUCGUUUCUCGGGCUCCUUGACCCUUCUUGCUUGCAUCUCGAUGCGAGCCUCGACCGCGACCCCA
This 592-nucleotide ribosomal RNA is filed under the name Mussaenda pubescens. RNAcentral's name for it is "eukaryotic LSU rRNA". The stretch from base 216 to 371 matches the Rfam family "5.8S ribosomal RNA". The record is from RNAcentral. RNAcentral also lists the same sequence under 1 other name. Lineage: Eukaryota; Viridiplantae; Streptophyta; Magnoliopsida; Gentianales; Rubiaceae.